GGCCCCGCCUCCGGCUCUCCGGCCGGCAGGUUGGCUGUCCUGGCCUGACCCUGGGAGACUCCGCUGGGGCCGCCUGUUAUGGUGCUAGCUGCCGUCCCGGUGCGUACUUUCCCAAGGUGAAUUUGACCUUCUUUGCGACAGCUAGGCCCUGACUAAGGUCGACCCACCAAACACUGGAUCGUCCCCAGGCGAAAGAGAGCUUGUUCCCCUCAGCCUGUCGCGGAGGAGCGGAGCCAAUCGAGGGUCUGGUGUCCCCGUCGCCUCUCCAGGGGCAACCUGCGGACUAGGCCAAGGUCUGUAACAGGAUAACGUACCAGCGCCUGGCCCAGGCGUUCCUGCCGCCACCUCCCCGCAUAUCCGGACCGCCGGGACUGCACGCAGCUGGCAAGCGUCCCCCUGUUAACUCUGCAAGGGUGGGGCGGCACCAUUUCUCAGACCAGAAUCUCGGUCUGUCGCCCAGGGUGGAGUGCAAUGGCGCGAUCUCGGCUCACUGCAACAUCCGGCUCCCGGGUUCCAGCCAUUCUCCUACCUCAGCCUACCGAAUAGCUGGGAUUACAGGCGCCCGCCAUCACGCCCAGCUAGCUUUUGUAUUUUUAGUAGAGACGGGGUUUUGCCACGUUGGCCAGGCUGGUCAACUCCUGACCUCACGUGAUCCGCGCACCACAGCCUCCCAAAGUGCUGGGAUUACAAGCGUGAGCCACCGCGCCUGGCCGACUAAG
RNAcentral lists this long non-coding RNA (719 nucleotides) under Homo sapiens (human). RNAcentral describes it as "non-protein coding lnc-NPBWR1-7:3". The record is from RNAcentral. Lineage: Eukaryota; Metazoa; Chordata; Mammalia; Primates; Hominidae.